RNAcentral lists this ribosomal RNA (1418 nucleotides) under uncultured bacterium. RNAcentral describes it as "bacterial SSU rRNA". It matches the Rfam family "Bacterial small subunit ribosomal RNA". The record is from RNAcentral.
AGAGUUUGAUCCUGGCUCAGGACGAACGCUGGCGGCGUGCCUAACACAUGCAAGUCGUACGCUUGUAAAAGCGUGGCGAACGGGUGAGUAAUAGCAAGGAACGUGCCUUAUUCCGGGAAAUACCCAGCCGAAAGGUUGGCUAAUGUCCCAUGGUCUCGCAAGAGUAAAGCUCCGGCGGAAUAAGAUCGGCCUUGUACCUAUCAGCUUGUUGGCGGGGUAAAUGCCCACCAAGGCUACGACGGGUAGCUGGUCUGAGAGGAUGAUCAGCCACAAUGGGACUGAGACACGGCCCAUACACCUACGGGUGGCAGCAGUUGGGAAUAUUGCGCAAUGGGCGACAGCCUGACGCAGCGACGCCGCGUGAAGGAUGAAGGUUUUCGGAUCGUAAACUUCUUUUGUGAGGGACGAUUGUGUCGGUACCUCACGAAUAAGGAUCGGCUAACUCCGUGCCAGCAGCCGCGGUCAUACGGAGGAUCCAAGCGUUAUCCGGAAUUACUGGGCGUAAAGAGUUGCGUAGGUGGCAUUGUAAGUUGGUAGUGAAAGCGUGCGGCUCAACCGCAUACACAUUAUCAAAACUGCAAAGCUAGAGGACAAGAGAGGUCACUGGAAUUCCUAGUGUAGGAGUGAAAUCCGUAGAUAUUAGGAGGAACACCGAUGGCGUAGGCAGGUGACUGGCUUGUUCCUGACACUAAGGCACGAAAGCGUGGGUAGCAAACGGGAUUAGAUACCUCGGUAGUCCACGCUGUAAACGAUGGAUGCUAGCUGUAUUCGGUAUCGACCCCGGAUGUAGCGAAGCUAACGCGUUAAGCAUCCCGCCUGUGGAGUACGGUCGCAAGACUGAAACAUAAAGGAAUUGACGGGGACCCGCACAAGCGGUGGAGCGUGUUGUUUAAUUCGAUGGUAAGCGAAGAACCUUACCCAGGUUUGACAUCCUGCGAAUUUCUUCGAAAGAAGAAAGUGCUUUAUUGAGCGCAGUGACAGGUGCUGCAUGGCCGUCGUCAUCUCGUGUCGUGAGAUGUUUGGUUAAGUCCAUCAACGAGCGCAACCCUUAUAGUUAGUUGAAUUUUUCUAGCUAGACUGCCCUGGCAACAGGGAGGAAGGAGGGGAUGAUGUCAGGUCAGUAUUGCCCUUACACCUGGGGCUACAAACACGCUACAAUGGCCGGUACAAAGGGCAGCCAAGUCGCGAGACGGAGCAAAUCCCAUCAAAGCCGGUCUCAGUUCGGAUUGCAGGCUGAAACUCGCCUGCAUGAAGUCGGAAUCGCUAGUAACGGUAGGUCAGCUAUACUACCGUGAAUACGUUCCCGGGUCUUGUACACACCGCCCGUCAAACCAUGAAAGUCGCCAAUACCUGACGUGCUAGCUUGCCUAGCCCUAAGGUAGGGGAGAUGAUUGGGGUUAAGUCGUAACAAGGUAUCC